Molecule: ribosomal RNA, 253 nt
Filed under: uncultured bacterium
Lineage: Bacteria
Description: partial 16S ribosomal RNA
Rfam family: Bacterial small subunit ribosomal RNA
Source: RNAcentral
UACGUAGGUGGCAAGCGUUGUCCGGAUUUAUUGGGUUUAAAGGGUGCGUAGGCGGCCCUGUAAGUCAGUGCUGAAAUAUCCCAGCUUAACUGGGAGGGUGGCAUUGAUACUGCGGGGCUAGAGUACAGAUGAGGUAGGCGGAAUUGACGGUGUAGCGGUGAAAUGCUUAGAUAUCGUCAAGAACACCUAUAGCAAAGGCAGCUUACUAGGCUGUAACUGACGCUGAGGCACGAAAGUGUGGGGAUCAAACAGG